RNAcentral lists this ribosomal RNA (477 nucleotides) under Salmonella enterica. RNAcentral describes it as "partial 23S ribosomal RNA". The stretch from base 1 to 366 matches the Rfam family "Bacterial large subunit ribosomal RNA", at positions 161 to 565 of the family's 2925-position model. Lineage: Bacteria; Pseudomonadati; Pseudomonadota; Gammaproteobacteria; Enterobacterales; Enterobacteriaceae. The record is from RNAcentral. RNAcentral also lists the same sequence under 3 other names.
AAUCCAUAGGUUAAUGAGGCGAACCGGGGGAACUGAAACAUCUAAGUACCCCGAGGAAAAGAAAUCAACCGAGAUUCCCCCAGUAGCGGCGAGCGAACGGGGAGGAGCCCAGAGCCUGAAUCAGCAUGUGUGUUAGUGGAAGCGUCUGGAAAGGCGCGCGAUACAGGGUGACAGCCCCGUACACAAAAGCGCAUGUGCUGUGAGCUCGAUGAGUAGGGCGGGACACGUGGUAUCCUGUCUGAAUAUGGGGGGACCAUCCUCCAAGGCUAAAUACUCCUGACUGACCGAUAGUGAACCAGUACCGUGAGGGAAAGGCGAAAAGAACCCCGGCGAGGGGAGUGAAAAAGAACCUGAAACCGUGUACGUACAAGCAGUGGGAGCCCCACCACCAAAGCAUUUGCUGUACCGCGUUGACGGAGCGAAGCGACGUCAAACCGAUAAAACAGCAGUGUAAAGUGAGCCGCAGGGCGCUUUGCG